This 901-nucleotide long non-coding RNA is filed under the name Homo sapiens (human). RNAcentral describes it as "HSALNT0313605". The record is from RNAcentral. Lineage: Eukaryota; Metazoa; Chordata; Mammalia; Primates; Hominidae.
GGGUGUUUCCAGUUCGGCUUAUAAUGGACGCCUCGGGUUCCCAGGGUUGUGUUCUUUGGUCUGCCUCUGGUUUCAGCCAUAGCUGCAAUGAACAUGGUCAUGAGAGCUCAGACUCACAUGGAAAAGCUAGCAAAGGGGCUUUUCCGAUGCUAAAGAGCCUUGAGGCAAAGGAGAGUCUUUCUCCUUGCUCCUAGACAACCUUAAACCAGUGGGGACGGACUGGUGAAUAAAUGCUUCAGGAGACCUUAUACAGUGAACCCACAUGUUGAAGCUUUCUAGUAUAAUAAAAAUUUCAACUGUUCUGUUGAAUCAUCUGCCUGAUUGGAGGCUACAGAAAAGAUGUCAUCUUAGGAGUGCUUGCUCUGAGUGAGGCUCAUCUUCAAAUCUGAAUGACCACAAGGAGAUUUGAUUAUACAUGUGAACACCUCAGAAGGCACAGCCCACCCAGAAGGCAGACAGGUCAGGCUGCUUUUUCUUCAUUGCUUGGAUUCAAUCCUCCGGGCGGCUCAGGCUCAAACAUAACUUAAGCAUGAUUAAACUUUAGAAGAAGCUGCCAGGAAGACUGUGAAAUCUUCAUGCCCAAGGAUCCCUAAAAUUAGGAGCAACAACCACUUGGCUCAGACGGUUUAUGGAGGCAAAGGUUUGGAUGGGAUUAGAGAUUUCUAAAUGUGAGUUCGUGUCCUCUGCCAGACCACCUUACUUCCACCAUUCCUCAGCAAAUCAAGAAAAACAGGAGAAAAGACAUGCCUUUCCAUAAGUUAAAUCUAUUCUGUUUUAAUUCUAUAUUAUAUCUGCUGUACAACUUCUUUUGUUUGUAACACCAUAUUGUUGCUAGUAACUGGAAAUUAAUUUUCACAUGCCUCAGCUUAGAAAAAUAAAAAGCAGCCCUGCAUCAAUCCCA